This 465-nucleotide ribosomal RNA is filed under the name uncultured bacterium. RNAcentral describes it as "bacterial SSU rRNA". It matches the Rfam family "Bacterial small subunit ribosomal RNA", at positions 338 to 795 of the family's 1533-position model. The record is from RNAcentral.
CCUACGGGUGGCUGCAGUAGGGAAUCAUCCGCAAUGGGGGCAACCCUGACGGUGCAACGCCGCGUGAGCGAGGAAGGUUUUCGGAUCGUAAAGCUCUGUUGUGCAGGAAGAACGCAGGAGAGAGGAAAUGCUCUUCUGGUGACGGUACUGCACGAGGAAGCCCCGGCUAACUACGUGCCAGCAGCCGCGGUAACACGUAGGGGGCAAGCGUUGUCCGGAAUGAUUGGGCGUAAAGGGCGUGCAGGCGGCUAUGCAAGUCUGAUGUGAAAGGCACCGGCUCAACCGGGGGAUGUCAUUGGAAACUGCAAGGCUUGAGUCCAGGAGAGGAGAGUGGAAUUCCACGUGUAGUGGUGAAAUGCGCAGAGAUGUGGAGGAACACCAGUGGCGAAGGCGGCUCUCUGGCCUGAGACUGACGCUGAGACGCGAAAGCGUGGGUAGCGAACAGGAUUAGAUACCCUGGUAGUC